RNAcentral lists this ribosomal RNA (253 nucleotides) under uncultured bacterium. RNAcentral's name for it is "partial small subunit ribosomal RNA". It matches the Rfam family "Bacterial small subunit ribosomal RNA", at positions 26 to 285 of the family's 1533-position model. The record is from RNAcentral.
AGGACGAACGCUGGCGGCGUGCUUAACACAUGCAAGUCGAGCGGAAAGGCCCUUCGGGGUACUCGAGCGGCGAACGGGUGAGUAACACGUGAGCAACCUGCCCUUAGCUCCGGGAUAGCUCCGGGAAACCGAAUUAAUACCGGAUACGACCACGGCCGACAUCUGCUGUGGUGGAAAGGAUUCCGGCUAAGGAUGGGCUCGCGGCCUAUCAGCUAGUUGGUGGAGUAACGGCCCACCAAGGCGACGACGGGUA